UCGUAUGACGGGGUAUCCGGCCUGAGAGGGUGAACGGACACACUGGAACUGAGACACGGUCCAGACUCCUACGGGAGGCAGCAGUAGGGAAUAUUGCUCAAUGGGGGAAACCCUGAAGCAGCAACGCCGCGUGGAGGAUGAAGGUUUUAGGAUUGUAAACUCCUUUUGUUAGAGAAGAUAAUGACGGUAUCUAACGAAUAAGCACCGGCUAACUCCGUGCCAGCAGCCGCGGUAAUACGGAGGGUGCAAGCGUUACUCGGAAUCACUGGGCGUAAAGAGCGCGUAGGCGGGAUAGUCAGUCAGGUGUGAAAUCCUAUGGCUUAACCAUAGAACUGCAUUUGAAACUACUUANNUUCUA
RNAcentral lists this ribosomal RNA (358 nucleotides) under Helicobacter pylori. RNAcentral's name for it is "bacterial SSU rRNA". It matches the Rfam family "Bacterial small subunit ribosomal RNA", at positions 272 to 646 of the family's 1533-position model. Lineage: Bacteria; Pseudomonadati; Campylobacterota; Epsilonproteobacteria; Campylobacterales; Helicobacteraceae. The record is from RNAcentral.